Manduca sexta (tobacco hornworm) is the source of this 441-nucleotide long non-coding RNA. RefSeq lists it as uncharacterized. The transcript has 3 exons. The record is from RefSeq and is a predicted model, not a curated record. Lineage: Eukaryota; Metazoa; Arthropoda; Insecta; Lepidoptera; Sphingidae.
CUAUUCACUAUAUGAAGUCUAUAAAGAUGUGCUGGAGUCAAACAGUGUCCCAACCUCAUGCGUGUGAUGCAGCUAAAAAACUUUCUGUCAAUAUAUUUGUGUUGAUGAUACCAAGGUUUCGUUGGUAAUUCUUUCUGUAUUUUGCUGUACCAUUUUCCUUUGGUCUGCAGGGUAUUGUCCCAUGUACAAGUGAAGGAGCAGUGACUACAUUAGAUGAGACUGGUUCUAUGUCCAGAGGACUCAAUUCGAGUUGUUUGUGAAGAAUGCUAUUGUUUAAGGAUACUAUUUUCAAAUAAAAUCUUUGGGCCAACUGUAAUCUACGCAAAACCAGAGGAGGAGAGACACAGUAUGAUGAUGGUUGCACAUUUAUCUCAAGAAAAGUUGGAAGGUGGUAACUACCCAUUGGGUCAUCAUGAACAUACCAAUUGCAAAGAUGAGCAA